AUAAUAGCAUAGUUGCCCGGGUUUCUUUUGUUUCAACAGGUACCAUUACUAACUAAUCGCCCGCUAGAGCGGGCGAUUAGAACUAAUCGCCCGUUACCAAGGGUCACACCUUUGUCUCCCUGACGACUACGCAUUAGGCAAGUGCCUCACGCACAUAAUCGUGCAAGGAAGAGCAACAGUUAGCUCAGAGCCGUCAAUAGUCUAUCAUCCGAUCCCUGAGUUGCCGCAUCAUUUAAAU
RNAcentral lists this long non-coding RNA (238 nucleotides) under Paramuricea clavata. The record is from RNAcentral. Lineage: Eukaryota; Metazoa; Cnidaria; Anthozoa; Malacalcyonacea; Plexauridae.